RNAcentral lists this ribosomal RNA (237 nucleotides) under uncultured bacterium. RNAcentral's name for it is "partial 16S ribosomal RNA". It matches the Rfam family "Bacterial small subunit ribosomal RNA", at positions 333 to 586 of the family's 1533-position model. The record is from RNAcentral.
CCACUCCUACGGGGCGCAGCAGUCGGGAAUAUUGCACAAUGGAGGAAACUCUGAUGCAGUGACACCGCGUAUAGGAAGAAGGUUUUCGGAUUGUAAACUAUUUUAGACAGGGAAGAAAAAAGACAGUACCUGUAGAAUAAGCUCCGGCUAACUACGUGCCAGCAGCCGCGGUAAUACGUAGGGAGCAAGCGUUAUCCGGAAUUAUUGGGUGUAAAGGGCGUGUAGGCGGGAACGCAA